UACGAAGGGUGCAAGCGUUAGUCGGAAUUACUGGGCGUAAAGCGUGCGUAGGUGGUCUCUUAAGUCCGUUGUGAAAGCCCUGGGCUCAACCUGGGAACUGCAGUGGAUACUGAGAAGCUAGAGUGUGUCAGAGGAUGGUGGAAUUCCCGGUGUAGCGGUGAAAUGCGUAGAUAUCGGAAGGAACACCAGUGGCGAAAGCGGCUUCCUGGUCCAGCACCGACGUUCAGGCACGAAAGCGUGGGGAGCAAACAGG
Molecule: ribosomal RNA, 253 nt
Filed under: uncultured bacterium
Lineage: Bacteria
Description: partial 16S ribosomal RNA
Rfam family: Bacterial small subunit ribosomal RNA
Source: RNAcentral